CGAUUCGCCCUUCGGGGUGCCCAGGCGCGAAAACUCCACAAUGUACGACAGUACGAUGGGGUUAUCUCGAGUGCAGUCCGAUAAGGGCUGCUUUUCCAUAGAGUAAUAUCCUGUGGGAAUAAGAGGGGGGCAAGACUGGUGUCAGCCGCCGCGGUAACACCAGCCCCUCGAGUGGUGGGGACUAUUAUUUGGUCUAAAGCGUCCGUAGCUGGCUGUAUCCGUCCCCCGUUAAAUCCAGCGUCCUAAGCGUUGGACUGCGGGUGAUACCAUACAGCUAGAGGGUGGGAUAGGUGAGCGGUAUUUCUGGGGUAGGGGCGAAAUCCUUUGAUCCCAGGAGGACCACCAGUGGCGAAGGCUGCUCACUAGAACACGCCUGACGGUCAGGGACGAAAGCUGGGGCAGCGAACCGGAUUAGAUACCCGGGUAGUCCCAGCUGUAAACGAUGCCAGCUAGGUGUUGGGUCGGCCACGCGCCGCCCCAGUGCCGCAGGGAAGCCGUUAAGCUGGCCACCUGGGGAGUACGGCCGCAAGGCUGAAACUUAAAGGAAUUGGCGGGGGAGCAC
RNAcentral lists this ribosomal RNA (562 nucleotides) under uncultured archaeon. Its description in RNAcentral is "bacterial SSU rRNA". It matches the Rfam family "Archaeal small subunit ribosomal RNA", at positions 314 to 879 of the family's 1478-position model. The record is from RNAcentral.